RNAcentral lists this ribosomal RNA (508 nucleotides) under uncultured bacterium. RNAcentral's name for it is "partial 16S ribosomal RNA". It matches the Rfam family "Bacterial small subunit ribosomal RNA", at positions 28 to 507 of the family's 1533-position model. The record is from RNAcentral.
GACGAACGCUGGCGGCGUGCCUAAUACAUGCAAGUCGAACGCUUCUUUCCUCCCGAGUGCUUGCACUCAAUUGGAAAGAGGAGUGGCGGCCGGGGGAGUAACACGUGGGUAACCUACCCAUCAGAGGGGGAUAACACUCGGAAACAGGUGCUAAUACCGCAUAACAGUUUAUGCCGCAUGGCAUAAGAGUGAAAGGCGCUUUCGGGUGUCGCUGAUGGAUGGACCCGCGGUGCAUUAGCUAGUUGGUGAGGUAACGGCUCACCAAGGCCACGAUGCAUAGCCGACCUGAGAGGGUGAUCGGCCACACUGGGACUGAGACACGGCCCAGACUCCUACGGGAGGCAGCAGUAGGGAAUCUUCGGCAAUGGACGAAAGUCUGACCGAGCAACGCCGCGUGAGUGAAGAAGGUUUUCGGAUCGUAAAACUCUGUUGUUAGAGAAGAACAAGGACGUUAGUAACUGAACGUCCCCUGACGGUAUCUAACCAGAAAGCCACGGCUAACUACGUG